RNAcentral lists this ribosomal RNA (462 nucleotides) under uncultured bacterium. Its description in RNAcentral is "partial 16S ribosomal RNA". It matches the Rfam family "Bacterial small subunit ribosomal RNA", at positions 28 to 507 of the family's 1533-position model. The record is from RNAcentral.
GACGAACGCUGGCGGCGUGCUUAACACAUGCAAGUCGAGCGGUAAGGCCUUUCGGGGUACACGAGCGGCGAACGGGUGAGUAACACGUGGGUGAUCUGCCCUGCACUUCGGGAUAAGCCUGGGAAACUGGGUCUAAUACCGGAUAUGACCUCCUAUCGCAUGGUGGGUGGUGGAAAGAUUUAUCGGUGCAGGAUGGGCCCGCGGCCUAUCAGCUUGUUGGUGGGGUAAUGGCCUGCCAAGGCGACGACGGGUAGCCGACCUGAGAGGGUGACCGGCCACACUGGGACUGAGACACGGCCCAGACUCCUACGGGAGGCAGCAGUGGGGAAUAUUGCACAAUGGGCGAAAGCCUGAUGCAGCGACGCCGCGUGAGGGAUGACGGCCUUCGGGUUGUAAACCUCUUUCAGCAGGGACGAAGCGCAAGUGACGGUACCUGCAGAAGAAGCACCGGCUAACUACGUG